GCGCCGCUGACGCAGGAGCACCCCGAGGUGCUGCCCUUCCUGAGCUCGCGCCACCUGCGCGCCCACCCCGACUUCCGGGGCUCGGCCGAGUUCCGGAACAUUCUGGGCCGGCUGCUGCGGCGCGUGCGGGGCCGGCGCCGCAAGGUCUACGUGUACAUCAACGAGCUGUGCACCGUGCUCAAGGCGCGCGCGCUGCGGCGCCGCCUGCCCCUGCGCGCCCUGCCCGCGCCCCCCGGCCCCGACGGAACCUUCCGGAGCCCCGACGGAGCGCCCCCGAGCCCCGAUGGAACCUUCCGGAGUCCCGAUGGAACCUUCCGGGAUCCCGACGGAACCUUCCGGGAUCCCGAUGGAACCUUCCGGAAUCCUGACGGAACCUUCCGGAAUCCCGAUGGAACCUUCCAGAAUCCUCCCAGUGCCUCCCAGUGCCCUCCCGGCUCGUCCCAGUGCCCGCCCAGUUUGUCCAGUUCGUCCCAGCGUCCCGACGGAGCUGAGCCGUCCCUGUGUGCCGCCACCAGUUCAUCCCAGUGUCCCACCGAUCCAUCCCAGUGUCCCACUGAUCCAUCCCAGUGUCCCCAGAGUUCUUCCAGCGAUCCCAGUGCUCCAUCCCAGUAUCCCAAUGGUCCCUCCUGGUGCUCCGACGCCUCCUCGCAGCAUCCCGGCGGUUCGUCCGCCAAUCCCAGUGCCUCGUCCCAGUAUCCCAGCAGCUCAUCCCAGUGUCCUGGGGGUUCAUCCCAGUGUCCUGGUACCCCAUCCCAGCAUCCCAGUGCUGCAUCCCAAUAUCCCAGCACCCCAUCCCAGUAUCCCAGCGCUCCACCCCAGCAUCCCGGCUCCCAGCCGCAGCCCCCGGAGGCCUCGGGCCGGCGCGCGGGCGGCUCCCGGCGGCAGAUCCGGCACCUGGAGCACCUGCUGCGCGUCUACGCCAGCGAGAUCCGGCGGCUGCAGGAGCGCGAGCUGGACCUGGCCGAGCUGGACAGCGCCGACUCGCCGUACCUGCAGGAGAACCGCCUCAAGCGCCGCAUGAUGCGCAUCUUCCGCCGCCUGUGCCAGCUCAAGGACUGCAGCAGCCUCACGGGGCGCGUGCUGGAGCAGCGCAUCCGCUUCCGCGGCACGCGCUACCCCGAGGUGAACCGCAGCAUCGAGCGCUUCAUCAACCGGCCCGACGCCUUCCCCGACUACUCGGACAUCCUGCGCGAGAUCCGCGGCGCCAGCGCGCGGCACCGCCUGGGGCUGGGCCGGCGCCAGAUGGAGAGCAUGGCGCAGGAGGCGUUCCGCGAGGUGGGCAACCGGCUGCAGGAGCGGCGCCACCUCGACCUGGUCUACAACUUCGGGAGUCACCUCACCGAUGAAUAUCGGCCGGGUAAUGGGGGAAAAAUGGG
RNAcentral lists this long non-coding RNA (1376 nucleotides) under Junco hyemalis (dark-eyed junco). Its description in RNAcentral is "lncRNA (ENSJHYG00000001994.1)". The record is from RNAcentral. Lineage: Eukaryota; Metazoa; Chordata; Aves; Passeriformes; Passerellidae.